UGGGGAAUAUUGGACAAUGGGGGAAACCCUGAUCCAGCAAUGCCGCGUGUGUGAAGAAGGCCUGCGGGUUGUAAAGCACUUUCAGUAGGGAAGAUGAUGACGGUACCUACAGAAGAGGCACCGGCUAACUCCGUGCCAGCAGCCGCGGUAAUACGGAGGGUGCGAGCGUUAAUUGGAAUUACUGGGCGUAAAGCGCACGUAGGUGGUUUGGUAAGUCGGAUGUGAAAUCCCCAGGCUUAACCUGGGAACUGCAUUCGAUACUGCCUCACUAGAGUCUGGCAGAGGGAUGCGGAAUUCCGGGUGUAGCGGUGAAAUGCGUAGAGAUCCGGAGGAACAUCGGUGGCGAAGGCGGCAUCCUGGGCUAAGACUGACACUGAGGUGCGAAAGCGUGGGG
RNAcentral lists this ribosomal RNA (394 nucleotides) under uncultured prokaryote. RNAcentral's name for it is "bacterial SSU rRNA". It matches the Rfam family "Bacterial small subunit ribosomal RNA", at positions 355 to 766 of the family's 1533-position model. The record is from RNAcentral.